GAUGAACGCUGGCGGCGUGCCUAAUACAUGCAAGUCGAGCGAACGGACGAGAAGCUUGCUUUUCUGAUGUUAGCGGCGGACGGGUGAAUAACACGUGGAUAACCUACCUAUAAGACUGGGAUAACUUCGGGAAACCGGAGCUAAUACCGGAUAAUAUUUUGAACCGCAUGGUUCAAAAGUGAAAGACGGUCUUGCUGUCACUUAUAGAUGGAUCCGCGCUGCAUUAGCUAGUUGGUAAGGUAACGGCUUACCAAGGCAACGAUGCAUAGCCGACCUGAGAGGGUGAUCGGCCACACUGGAACUGAGACACGGUCCAGACUCCUACGGGAGGCAGCAGUAGGGAAUCUUCCGCAAUGGGCGAAAGCCUGACGGAGCAACGCCGCGUGAGUGAUGAUGGUCUUCGGAUCGUAAAACUCUGUUAUUAGGGAAGAACAUAUGUGUAAGUAACUGUGCACAUCUUGACGGUACCUAAUCAGAAAGCCACGGCUAACUACGUG
Molecule: ribosomal RNA, 497 nt
Filed under: uncultured bacterium
Lineage: Bacteria
Description: partial 16S ribosomal RNA
Rfam family: Bacterial small subunit ribosomal RNA
Source: RNAcentral